RNAcentral lists this ribosomal RNA (490 nucleotides) under uncultured bacterium. Its description in RNAcentral is "partial 16S ribosomal RNA". It matches the Rfam family "Bacterial small subunit ribosomal RNA", at positions 30 to 507 of the family's 1533-position model. The record is from RNAcentral.
AUUGAACGCUGGCGGCAGGCCUAACACAUGCAAGUCGAACGGUAACAGGAAGAAGCUUGCUUCUUUGCUGACGAGUGGCGGACGGGUGAGUAAUGUCUGGGAAACUGCCUGAUGGAGGGGGAUAACUACUGGAAACGGUAGCUAAUACCGCAUAACGUCGCAAGACCAAAAAGGGGGACCUUCGGGCCUCUUGCCAUCGGAUGUGCCCAGAUGGGAUUAGCUAGUAGGUGGGGUAACGGCUCACCUAGGCGACGAUCCCUAGCUGGUCUGAGAGGAUGACCAGCCACACAGGAACUGAGACACGGUCCAGACUCCUACGGGAGGCAGCAGUGGGGAAUAUUGCACAAUGGGCGCAAGCCUGAUGCAGCCAUGCCGCGUGUAUGAAGAAGGCCUUCGGGUUGUAAAGUACUUUCAGCGGGGAGGAAGGGAGUAAAGUUAAUACCUUUGCUCAUUGACGUUACCCGCAGAAGAAGCACCGGCUAACUCCGUG